AGAGUUUGAUCAUGGCUCAGGGUGAACGCUGGCGCGUGCUUGACACAUGCAAGUCGAACGGUAUGUGGCAACACAUAGAGUGGCGAACGGGUGAGUAACACGUGGGAACGUAUCUUUUGCAGGGGGAUAACUGACCGAAAGGACAGCUAAUACCGCAUAAGUCCGAGAGGAGAAAGGUGCAACAGCAUCGGCAGAAGAGCGGCCCGCGGUCCAUCAGCUAGUUGGUGAGGUAAGGGCUUACCAAGGCGACGACGGAUAGCCGGCGUGAGAGCGUGGCCGGCCACAAGGACACUGAGAUACGGGUCCUACUCCUACGGGAGGCAGCAGUGCGGAAUUUUAGAUAAUGGAGGGAACUCUGAUCUAGCGACGCCGCGUGCAGGAAGAAGGUCUUCGGAUUGUAAACUGCUGUGGUAAGGGAAAAAUGCUAUGUAGAGUGGAAAGCUACAUAGAGGGAUGGUACCUUACUAGAAAGCCCCGGCUAACUACGUGCCAGCAGCCGCGGUAAUACGUAGGGGGCGAGCGUUACCCGGAAUCACUGGGCGUAAAGGGAGCGUAGGUGGCCUAACAUGUCAACUGUGAAAACCCGGAGCUCAACUCCGGACUUGCAGUUGAAACUGGUAGGCUUGAGGACGGUAGAGGAAGACGGAACUGCCAGUGUAGGGGUAAAAUCCUUAGAUAUUGGCAGGAACGCCGGUGACGAAGGUGGUUUUCUGGGCCGGUUCUGACACUGAUGCUCGAAAGCCAGGGGAGCGAACGGGAUUAGAUACCCCGGUAGUCCUGGCCCUAAACGAUGUUCACUAGGUGUGGGGAGCGGAAAGCUCUCCGUGCUAAAGCUAACGCGAUAAGUGAACCGCCUGGGGAGUACGCCCGCAAGGGUGAAACUCAAAUGAAUUGACGG
This 898-nucleotide ribosomal RNA is filed under the name Thermotogaceae bacterium enrichment culture clone HB_80. RNAcentral's name for it is "bacterial SSU rRNA". It matches the Rfam family "Bacterial small subunit ribosomal RNA", at positions 8 to 916 of the family's 1533-position model. The record is from RNAcentral. Lineage: Bacteria; Thermotogati; Thermotogota; Thermotogae; Thermotogales; Thermotogaceae.